GACGAACGCUGGCGGCGUGCCUAAUACAUGCAAGUCGAGCGAAUCGAUGGGAGCUUGCUCCCUGAGAUUAGCGGCGGACGGGUGAGUAACACGUGGGUAACCUGCCUGUAAGACUGGGAUAACUUCGGGAAACCGGAGCUAAUACCGGAUACUUUCUUUUCUCGCAUGAGGGAAGAUGGAAAGAUGGUUCUGCUAUCACUUACAGAUGGACCCGCGGCGCAUUAGCUAGUUGGUGAGGUAACGGCUCACCAAGGCGACGAUGCGUAGCCGACCUGAGAGGGUGAUCGGCCACACUGGGACUGAGACACGGCCCAGACUCCUACGGGAGGCAGCAGUAGGGAAUCUUCCGCAAUGGACGAAAGUCUGACGGAGCAACGCCGCGUGAGCGAAGAAGGCCUUCGGGUCGUAAAGCUCUGUUGUUAGGGAAGAACAAGUAUCGGAGUAACUGCCGGUACCUUGACGGUACCUAACCAGAAAGCCACGGCUAACUACGUGCCAGCCGCCGCCGUAA
RNAcentral lists this ribosomal RNA (511 nucleotides) under uncultured bacterium. RNAcentral's name for it is "partial 16S ribosomal RNA". It matches the Rfam family "Bacterial small subunit ribosomal RNA", at positions 28 to 523 of the family's 1533-position model. The record is from RNAcentral.